CGUUGAUUACGUCCCUGCCCGUUGUACACACCGCCCGUCGCUACUACCGAUUGAAUGGCUCAGUGAGGCGUCCGGACUGGUCCAGAGAGGAGGGAAACCACCACUCAGGGCCGGAAAGCUCUCCAAACUCGGUCAUUUAGAGGAAGUAAAAGUCGUAACAAGG
Molecule: ribosomal RNA, 163 nt
Filed under: Clonostachys rosea
Lineage: Eukaryota; Fungi; Ascomycota; Sordariomycetes; Hypocreales; Bionectriaceae
Description: partial small subunit ribosomal RNA
Rfam family: Eukaryotic small subunit ribosomal RNA
Source: RNAcentral